UAUGUGAUCGUCUCUCGCAUAUCAAUAAGCGGAGGAAAAGAAACUAACAAGGAUUCCCCUAGUAACGGCGAGUGAAGCGGGAAGAGCUCAAAUUUGAAAUCUUAAAGGGUUUCCCUUUACGAAUUGUAGUUUAAAGAAGUGUUUUCUGUUGAGGUUUUGGUAAAAGUUCUUUGGAAUAGGACAUCAUAGAGGGUGAGAAUCCCGUAUUUGACCUUUACUUUCAACUUUGUGAUACACUUUCAAAGAGUCGGAUUGUUUGGGAAUGCAGUCCAAAAUGGGUGGUAAAUUUCAUCUAAAGCUAAAUAUUGGCGAGAGACCGAUAACGAACAAGUACCGUGAGGGAAAGAUGAAAAGAACUUUGAAAAGAGAGUUAAACAGUACGUGAAAUUGUCAAAAGGGAAGCGUUUGACACCAGUGUUGUUUUUCUGAAAAUCAAUUAAAGAACUGUUUAUGCUAAGUUGUUUAGACUUUAUCAGCUAUCUGCUUAGUUUUGAGCUUUUCUUUAAUGCACUUUUCAGUUAACAAGUCAACAUCAAUUUCUUUUGCUGUAAAAAAGCUUGAGGAAGGUGGCUUGAGAUUCGUCUUAAGUGUUUAUAGCCUCUUGCCUAUGCAGUCGGAGAGAUUGAGGUCUGCAGCGUAGAUCCUUCGGGGCUAAAUGCAUUUGUGCUAAGUUAUAGCAUUUUAUAGACAACUUGUUGACUAUGAUUUGUCUUGUAGCUUACUCGCUUAUGUUAUUUUACCUACGCUUAGGAUGUUGAAGACUCUACAGAGAUA
RNAcentral lists this ribosomal RNA (774 nucleotides) under uncultured Neocallimastigales. Its description in RNAcentral is "partial large subunit ribosomal RNA". It matches the Rfam family "Eukaryotic large subunit ribosomal RNA", at positions 24 to 628 of the family's 3401-position model. The record is from RNAcentral. Lineage: Eukaryota; Fungi; Neocallimastigomycota; Neocallimastigomycetes; Neocallimastigales.